AGUAACCUAAAAAUAAGAGAGUACCAGGCAGUGUAUUUGAUGAGAUUGAGACUUCCUUCCUGCUUCAACUCCAGUUGAGCUUCGGCUGAACAAAUUUUCUCCUGACAGUGGCAAGCAACGUCUCUGAAUUAUUCCUAUGUCACCUAAGCUGGCUUCCACUGGGCACAUACCUUCAUCAUCUUACUUGCAGAAGAAGAUCUCUGUUCAGAGCAAACAGCAUCUCAUCCAUCUUCUGAACAAACUCAGUACAGAGGGUGCUGUGUUAUUAGCAGCCAAAGUAGGCCUCAAAGAAAGGCUCAACCUGUCCCUGUUUCCACCACAAAUGGAAAUUUAAAAUAUGAGAGAAGCCAUGAAGAGUAAAGAUUUCAUAAACUAAUGGAAGUGACUAAAAGAGGAAUGGACCCCAUAAAGAAAGCAAUACUUCUGAACUAGAUAGAUGUUUCCAUAUUAAGCCCUUAAAUAAGUAAUUUUGAAAUCAAAUUUUCAUG
Myiozetetes cayanensis is the source of this 488-nucleotide long non-coding RNA. RefSeq lists it as uncharacterized. The record is from RefSeq and is a predicted model, not a curated record. The transcript is spliced from 4 exons. NCBI's taxonomy places the organism in Eukaryota, Metazoa, Chordata, Aves, Passeriformes, Tyrannidae.